CCUACGGGAGGCAGCAGUGGGGAAUAUUGCACAAUGGGGGGAACCCUGAUGCAGCGACGCCGCGUGAGUGAAGAAGUAUUUCGGUAUGUAAAGCUCUAUCAGCAGGGAAGAAAAUGACGGUAACUGACGAAGAAGCCCCGGCUAACUACGUGCCAGCAGCCGCGGUUAUACGGAGGGGGCAAGCGUUAUCCGGAUUUACUGGGUGUAAAGGGAGCGCAGACGGCUGUGCAAGUCUGGAGUGAAAGGCGCGGGCCCAACCCCCGGACUGCUCUGGAAACUGUAAAGCUGGAGUGCGGGAGAGGUAAGCGGAAUUCCUAGUGUAGCGGUGAAAUGCGUAGAUAUUAGGAGGAACACCAGUGGCGAAGGCGGCUUACUGGACUGCAACUGACGUUGAGGCUCGAAAGCGUGGGGAGCAAACAGGAUUAGAUACCCUUGUAGUC
Molecule: ribosomal RNA, 440 nt
Filed under: uncultured bacterium
Lineage: Bacteria
Description: partial 16S ribosomal RNA
Rfam family: Bacterial small subunit ribosomal RNA
Source: RNAcentral